RNAcentral lists this ribosomal RNA (465 nucleotides) under uncultured bacterium. RNAcentral describes it as "partial 16S ribosomal RNA". It matches the Rfam family "Bacterial small subunit ribosomal RNA", at positions 338 to 795 of the family's 1533-position model. The record is from RNAcentral.
CCUACGGGCGGCAGCAGUGGGGAAUAUUGCGCAAUGGGCGAAAGCCUGACGCAGCGACGCCGCGUGAGGGAUGAAGGUCUUCGGAUCGUAAACCUCUGUCAGCAGGGAAGCACGGUCACUGUGCUAAUCAGCAGUGAAUUGACGGUACCUGCAAAGGAAGCACCGGCUAACUCCGUGCCAGCAGCCGCGGUAAUACGGAGGGUGCGAGCGUUAAUCGGAAUUACUGGGCGUAAAGCGCUCGUAGGCGGUAUGUCAAGUCAAGGGUGAAAUCCCCGCGCUCAACGUGGGAACUGCCUUUGAAACUGGCAAACUGGAGUGUGUGAGAGGAUAGUGGAAUUCGAGGUGUAGGAGUGAAAGCCGUAGAUAUCUGGAGGAACAUCAGUGGCGAAGGCGACUAUCUGGCACAUAACUGACGCUGAGGAGCGAAAGCGUGGGUAGCAAACAGGAUUAGAUACCCCAGUAGUC